Long non-coding RNA from Gallus gallus (chicken), 861 nucleotides. NCBI's taxonomy places the organism in Eukaryota, Metazoa, Chordata, Aves, Galliformes, Phasianidae. The record is from Ensembl.
ACAGGAGUAGACCAUGAACUUGAUGUAACAAAAGUAAUUUGUAAGACUGAGAAAAGAAGUAAUAAAACUCCUUCAGUGAUUCUGUAGGACCUAUUGCAUGGAGGUAUAAGUUCUGAUUAGCUGAGGAUGAUUUUUGUUUGUUUUCUUGUUGAGGAUUCAAUAAUAUUUCAAGUUGGAUUCAGCUGAAGGACCCUUCAGAUUCUGUCAUGUAACUGACUACUAAGAGACUUUAACUCUUUCUCUCCCACUCUACCCCACAUCAUCUGCAGUUGAGCAUUCUUUAGGUCACCCAACUAAGUGGUUCUGGAAGCUAUAAUGAAGUCAUCCAUUACAUAUUCAAUAAAUUCGUCUGCCAUCAGAAGAAAGAGAUAGCAGGUGUGUGAGGAUAUUCCGAUCUCAUCAAUUGGACUCUCUGCUUGAAUUUCAGUGGCUGUAAGUAGGCAAAAGAAAGCCAUCCAUAACACAUCUAAACACAGGAUGUCAUGGUUUUGUAACUUCGCUAUUGGUAUUCCACAUCAUAACAUCAUGGACAAAAGAGAAGAACUACGUAUCCCAGAGGACCUCACGGUCAGAGAAGGAAGACACAUCACGGAAGAUACGUCAUCUGGUUGCGCGCGGUGCUUCUUCACUUUCGCUUGCUGCCGGGAGAGGAGUGGGUGUGCUUUCCAAGCCGGGCGCCUUCAUCAAGUAAGGCUUUCGGUUUCGGAAACUCUCUCACUCUCUCUCUCUCUCCCUCUCUAUCGCUCUUUCGCUCUCUCUCCCUCAUUCCAUUUGGUUUAUUAUACUUACUCCCGAUUAGAUUGUAUUGUAUCGUGUCAUCUUGCAUCUCAACAUCAUAGUUAGUAAAAUAAGUUCUCCUUC